UAAACACCAAACGCGGAAUAACCGAACUCAUACAUUUGCGGAGGUUAUGGUCACAAAUGACACUGCACACGCGACGAUCCGCGGCUCAUGUGAAUCGUGCUGGGUAAAACGGCGAAGCGCCUGGAGCCCGGCCUCAUGGACGAGAUGAAUACGUUAGGGCGUGCAGAUGGCGCGGGAGCGACUGUUUCGGCCGGCUUCGACUCAUGCCGACCGACUGUUCAUCGCGAAUUUUUCGAACUCGAAUGAAUCUUUAGGUUAGGUUUCGUAACGACUCACGACUUCACGUGUCACGUGAACUUGUGUUCCGCGGAUUCUCAAUCUCUGGACACCGUGUUCGUAGACCCAAAUGCAUGGAUAUGUUGUGUUAUAUAUUUAAUCGCCACAGUGAUAAGAAAAUGGUUGUGUGCCUCCCGGGACAAUUGCGUUAUAUGAUACUUUACGAGCAGCCGAGACGUACGUUGUUCUUAUUCCUUCUUCCUCUCCCAGUAAUGGUGGCUGGAGUUACAAAAAAACAUCAAUAAAAAUAUGUUUUG
Molecule: long non-coding RNA, 533 nt
Organism: Venturia canescens
Lineage: Eukaryota; Metazoa; Arthropoda; Insecta; Hymenoptera; Ichneumonidae
Exons: 3
Source: RefSeq, a predicted model, not a curated record